GCCGGACGCGGUGGCGCGCGCCUGUAGUCCCAGCUAUUCGGGAGGCUGAGAUGGGAGGAUCGCUUGAGCCCAGGAGUUCUGGGCUGUAGUGCGCUAUGCCGAUCAGGUGUCCGCACUAAGUUCGGCAUCAAUAUGGUGACCUCCCGGGAGCGGGGGACCACCAAGUUGCCUAAGGAGGGGUGAACCGGCCCAGGUCGGAAACGGAGCAGGUCAAAACUCCCGUGCUGAUCAGUAGUGGGAUCGCGCCUGUGAAUAGCCACUGCACUCCAGCCUGGGCAACAUAGCGAGACCCCGUCUCU
Molecule: signal recognition particle RNA, 299 nt
Filed under: Microcebus murinus (gray mouse lemur)
Lineage: Eukaryota; Metazoa; Chordata; Mammalia; Primates; Cheirogaleidae
Description: Metazoan signal recognition particle RNA (ENSMICG00000042267.1)
Rfam family: Metazoan signal recognition particle RNA
About the family: The signal recognition particle (SRP) is a universally conserved ribonucleoprotein. It is involved in the co-translational targeting of proteins to membranes.
Source: RNAcentral